UACGUAGGUGGCAAGCGUUGUUCGGAAUUAUUGGGCGUAAAGGGCGCGUAGGCGGCUUGUUAAGUCGGCUGUGAAAGCCCGGGGCUCAACCCCGGAGGGUCGGCCGAUACUGGCGAGCUAGAGUACGGAAGAGGUAGCUGGAAUUCCCGGUGUAGCGGUGAAAUGCGCAGAUAUCAGGAAGAACACCCGUGGCUAAGGCGGCUCUCUAGUACGGUACUGACGCUGAGACGCGAAAGCGUGGGGAGCGAACAGG
Molecule: ribosomal RNA, 253 nt
Filed under: uncultured bacterium
Lineage: Bacteria
Description: partial 16S ribosomal RNA
Rfam family: Bacterial small subunit ribosomal RNA
Source: RNAcentral